CCCUUAGAUGUUCUGGGCCGCACGCGCGCUACACUGACGAAUGCAACGAGCUUAUAACCUUGGCCGAAAGGUCUGGGUAAUCUCCAAAAUUCGUCGUGAUGGGGAUAGAUUAUUGCAAUUAUUAAUCUUCAACGAGGAAUGCCUAGUAAGCGCAAGUCAUCAGCUUGCGUUGAUUACGUCCCUGCCCUUUGUACACACCGCCCGUCGCUCCUACCGAUUGAAUGGUCCGGUGAAGCGUUUGGACUAUGGUUUUCUGACGGUUCGCCAUUGGAUUACCGUGGGAAAUUCGUUAAACCUUAUCAUUUAGAGGAAGGAGAAGUCGUAACA
Molecule: ribosomal RNA, 327 nt
Filed under: uncultured eukaryote
Lineage: Eukaryota
Description: partial 18S ribosomal RNA
Rfam family: Eukaryotic small subunit ribosomal RNA
Source: RNAcentral